GACGAACGCUGGCGGCGUGCUUAACACAUGCAAGUCGAACGGAAAGGCCCUGCUUUUGUGGGGUGCUCGAGUGGCGAACGGGUGAGUAACACGUGAGUAACCUGCCCUUGACUUUGGGAUAACUUCAGGAAACUGGGGCUAAUACCGGAUAGGAGCUCCUGCUGCAUGGUGGGGGUUGGAAAGUUUCGGCGGUUGGGGAUGGACUCGCGGCUUAUCAGCUUGUUGGUGGGGUAGUGGCUUACCAAGGCGUUGACGGGUAGCCGGCCUGAGAGGGUGACCGGCCACAGUGGGACUGAGAUACGGCCCAGACUCCUACGGGAGGCAGGAGUGGGGAAUAUUGCACAAUGGGCGGAAGCCGGAUGCAGCAACGCCGCGUGCGGGAUGACGGCCUUCGGGUUGUAAACCGCUUUCGCCUGUGACGAAGCGUGAGGGACGGUAAUGGGUAAAGAAGCACCGGCUAACUACGU
RNAcentral lists this ribosomal RNA (467 nucleotides) under uncultured bacterium. Its description in RNAcentral is "partial 16S ribosomal RNA". It matches the Rfam family "Bacterial small subunit ribosomal RNA", at positions 28 to 506 of the family's 1533-position model. The record is from RNAcentral.